RNAcentral lists this ribosomal RNA (252 nucleotides) under uncultured bacterium. RNAcentral's name for it is "partial 16S ribosomal RNA". It matches the Rfam family "Bacterial small subunit ribosomal RNA", at positions 525 to 776 of the family's 1533-position model. The record is from RNAcentral.
ACGUAGGGACCGAGCGUUGUCCGGAAUCAUUGGGCGUAAAGAGCGUGUAGGCGGCUUGGUAGGUCUCGUGUGAAAUCCCGCGGCUCAACCGCGGACCCGCACGGGAAACCCCCAAGCUCGAGUCCGGAAGAGGAGAGUGGAAUUCCUGGUGUAGCGGUGAAAUGCGCAGAUAUCAGGAAGAACACCCGUAGCGAAGGCGGCUCUCUGGGACGGUACUGACGCUGAGACGCGAAAGCGUGGGGAGCAAACAGG